RNAcentral lists this non-coding RNA (130 nucleotides) under Peptococcaceae bacterium. Its description in RNAcentral is "FMN sequence". It matches the Rfam family "FMN riboswitch aptamer (RFN element)". Rfam says of the family: The RFN element is a highly conserved domain that is found frequently in the 5'-untranslated regions of prokaryotic mRNAs that encode for flavin mononucleotide (FMN) biosynthesis and transport proteins. This element is a metabolite-dependent riboswitch that directly binds FMN in the absence of proteins. The record is from RNAcentral. Lineage: Bacteria; Bacillati; Bacillota; Clostridia; Eubacteriales; Peptococcaceae.
UAAAACCUUCAGGGACAGGUGAAAUUCCGUACCGGCGGUAAGAGGUUAAGCUUCAAGCCCGCGAGCCCGCAAGGGUUGAUCCGGUGUAACUCCGGAGCCGACAGUAAAGUCUGGAUGGGAGAAGGUAAUU